UCCCCUUCUUUGCUGGGGGGAAGGUUCCAGAACGGAGUGGCGCACGUACGGGGCGCAUGACGUGGCGCGGCUACCAGGCUGCAGCCCUGAGAAUGGAACCGCCUCUGUGCUCCAUGGCAAGCCGCCCUGCCCCGAGGAUCUCCUCCGCAAUGGGGCUUGUAUGUUCCGCUGGGGGAACCCCUGCUCCCCUCCCGGCGGGCGAGCCGGCCAAGAGGGGCUGCGCCAGGAGCUUGCCUGCGGGCGGCCAGCCCCUGCGUGUCGGCAGACGGGAGAGCGCCGAGCGGCGCGUCCCUGGGCUGGUCCGGCUCGGGACUCCCGCGGCACUGCGCUCCCCUGCAGAACGCCGAGCGGUCCCCGAGGAUUUAUCCCUGGGCCUCGCCUUGCCGCCCCGCAGGCAGGCGUGCGCGUUGCAGAGACUGCGGAGCCAUGGAGCAGGCGCUGGGGGGCCGCCGGAGUGGGUACGGGUGCAGUGGACACCGCCUAGGGUGGGGCUGUACAGCAGUUAGGCGCCUGCGGCUGGCCUGUGCCAGCGGGCUGGGGCUAAGGGGCUCUUUAAUUGUGGUGUGGAUGCUCGGGGGUCUAUACCCAAAAUUGAACAGCGCUUUAGCCUGGCGAUCACUAGUUCAAGUCAGCGAGCACAGGAGUUUGUCCCGUCUCCUGGGUCAGACCUAUGAUUUAUUCAGGCUGGGAUCUUGUUCCUUUUGAAACUUUCAGGGGGCUUGUUUUUCUGUUUGUUUUAGUCAUUCUUGCGGGAGGGUGAAUUAUAUACAGUAGAACCUCAGUGUUAUAAACUGACUAAUCACACACCUCAUUUAGAACACGAAGUCUGCUGUCAGGCAGCAGCAGAGCGCCCCCCGCCCCCCCCGGGAUACAGUACCUUACUGUGUUAAACAUACUAAAAAAAUACAGGGAAAGUUCAAAAUUUGACAAGGUUCUUACACUGAGUUCUUCACCAUAGCAUCUGAGCACCCUGUGACAAGACAUCUUGAAGGCAUCUGUGCUCCAACCUCUGGCAUCUCAUUGACUACAUUAUCCUCAGGAGAAGAGACAGACAGGAUGUUUGAGUGACAAAGGCCAUGAGAAGUGCAGAAUGCUGGGCUGAUCACAGGGUUAUAGUCUCCAAGCUGAAUAUCCAGCUACAUCCUAGUAGGCAACCACAAGGUAAAAAGGCAUCCAAAAAUCUUAAUGUCUCCUCCAAACUGAAACAGGAGAAUGUGAAACAGGCUUUCCUUGAACUGCGCAGCCAACUUGUUACAAUUGAUGCAAACUCUAAUAACAACGAAAAUUGGGCAUCCUUUAGAGAUUCUGUGUACUUGGCUGCAUCCAAUACCUUUGAUUCCAUCACAUGUAAACAUCAAGCUUGGCUUGAUAAAAAUGAUACUGACGUAGUGAGACUGUUGAAUGAGAAACAUUUGGCUCCGUAAGGCCUAUUUAGGAGAUACAGUUCAACAUCUAAGAAAGUAGCCUAACAACAUCAAGAGGACUGUCCAACGUAAACUUAGAGAGAUCUAAAACUCAUUCUGAGCAACAAGGCAGAUGAGAUUCAAUCCUACACAGACAGGAAUGACAUGAAAUACUUCUGUGGUGCUCUGAGGACAAUCUAUAGGCCAUGGUCAUCGGGAACAUCUCCAAUACUGAAAGCUGAUGGCACCACACUACUCACUGGUAAAGAAAAGAUACUGCAAAGGUGGGCAGAACACUUUAAACACAUCCUCAAUAAAGAAUAAUCUGUUAGUGAGGAGGCAAUUGAUUGACUGCCCCAGAUCAGUAUCAACAUCUCUUGCUCAUCUCCCAAUGCCGAUUGAAACUGUGAAAGUGAUUGAGCAGAUGCUGUACCAGCAGAAGUCUAAAAGGCCAGAGGCUUACACGUGACUCUGAAAUUGACUGAUUUUUUCCAAUCAAUGUAACACAAAGAACUUUAUCCCAGGAGUACAAGGAUGCAUCCAUCAUCCACUUGUAGGAUUGUCAGUUGUCUUUCUGUUUAUACAACUACUAUUGGGGCAUCUCACUGUAAGUAGCCAGCAAAAUUCUCAUCAGAAUUCUGCUGAAUUGCCUUGUGCAAUGCAUUGAACAAGCGCUCCUGCCUGAAAGUCAGCAUGGCUUCAGGAAAGGAUGCAGGACUAUAGAUACGGUAUUUUUAGCUUGUCAACUUCAGGAGAGAUGCCAGGAACAGAACUCCAACCUGUAUGACUUUCAUUGACCUGACAAAAGCAUUUGAUACAGUCAGUUGGGAGGGCCUUGGGAAGAUCAUGGCAAAACUUGAUUGCCCAGAGAAAUUCAUUGCAAUGGUUCAGCAAUUCCAUGAUGGCAUUCUCUCUCGCAUUGUGGACGACGGUGAGUCAUCUGAACCAUUCCCAGUCAUCAGUGCAGUCAAGUAGGGCUGCAUGUUGGCCUCAGCUGUUUUCAGUAUGAUGCUUUCUACCAUGCUUACAGAUGGCUUUCAUGACUGUGACACUAGGAUUGGCAUCAGAUACCAGACUAAUGGCAAGCUAUUCACUUUGAGGAGACUAGAGGCAAAGACAAAUGUAGAGGAAGUGACUGUUCGUGAUCUUCUGUUUGCUGAUGACUGUUUCCUGAAUGCCAAAUCUGAGUCCGACCUGCAGUGGAGUAUGGACGAUUUCUCUUCAGCUUGUGACAACUUUGGUCUCACAAUUAUCAGGAAGCCAGAAGUGAUGUAUUGGCCUGUACCAGGAAAGCCUUAUGUAGAGCCUACUAUCAAGGUGACUGGCCAAACCCUUCAGACAGUGGACAAGUUCACCUAUCUCAGCAGUACACUAUCAUGUGCAGUUCACAACGAUGAAACCAAUGCCAGAAUUGCCAGAGCAAGUGUGACCUUUGGCAGACUAUGUGCAAUUGUGUGGGAGCGUAGAGGCAAUAGUCAACAAACAAAUCUGAAAGUCUACAAAGACCUUGCAUUGCCAACUCUGAUGUAAAACCUGGAUGGUGUACAGAUGCCAGUCUGUGAAGCUGAAUCACUUUCACAUGGUCUGUUUGAAGAAACUGAGGAUAAGACAGCGAGACAAAGCUCUAGAUACGGAGGUUCUCCUGCGGACAGGCAUUCCAAGUAUCCAUACUCUGAUGAAAUCACAGAUGAGAUGGUGAGAUCAUGUCACCAGAAUGUCAGAUAAGUGACUGCCAAAGAUCUUUUACAGCAAGCUAAAGGAGGGAAAUCGCUUUCAGGGAGGCAAAAAGAAACAUUUCAGGGACUCCCUCAGGCUAUCCUUGGAGCAUUUCAACAUUGACCCAGAGCUUUGGGAAGAUCUCGCUCAUGAUUGUUCUACCUGACAAAGCCUCAUCUGUACUGGAGCUAGUCUGUGAGUGGAGGAGACCAGCUGAGGCAGAGCAGAAGCGCAAGCAGUAUAAAUCUCACAGCAGCAGCAUGUCACUAUUAAUCAAGUGACCCGUAGCGGCAUCUCUUGUUAGUUCAAAGCUCAAAUUGGCCUGAUCAGCCACUCGCAUGUUCACAGAAACCAAACCAACCAGUGAUGUCAUGGUCAUAGUCAAACUCGAAGGACAAACAGUCUGAGCACCUUUCAGUAGUGCAUUAAUCAGUAGUUCUCAAACUUUUAUUAAGGGGGUCUACCCACUUCUUUUUUUUUUCUUUGCAACACACCUAGGGUCCAAAUUCAUGGAAUUCCUGAGAAGGGUGGCUGGGCCAAAUUUGAGUGAUCGCCGUUGUACCCUGGCAUAUGGGGCUGCAGGGCCACUCAGGUUUGGCCCAGUUGCCCUCUGAUGCUGCCAACGUGUGCCAAGUCACAAUACACAGUGGCAUAUUGGCCAAUGGAGUUCAUGCCCAGGGGCCCCAGAGAAAUGGGUUCCCCAACAGACAUCCAUUGCGGGGAACGAAAGCCUGAAGCCCUGGCAGAAGAGCUGGGUAACCCUGGCUGCAGCCCUGGGACUGGAGGAGUUCUUUCUCCCUGCCACAGCCUCAGGGCUGUGGGAGCUCUCAGUCCCAGCUGUGGUGCUGGGGCAUGGUGUGUGUGUUGGGGGGGGGACAGAGCUUCUCUGGUCUUGGGGCUGUAGGGGUGGGGAGAAAGGAGCAAACCGGUUGCAGUGCUGCAGUGGGUAGGGUGGGGUGGAAUGGAGUGGGACUGUGGAUGGAACGGGUGGGGCUGUAGGGGAAGGGGUGGAAAAGGGUGAGGCUACGGGUGGGGCCAUAGGUGAAAGGGGUGGAACGUGGGUGGAAUCGCAGGCGGAAGGGGUGGAGAGGCCCCCCCACUUGCUCUAGCCCAUGCCCCCCUGAAACCUUAAUCCAUCUCUGGCAACGCUUGGAGCAGGAAGCUGGCCUGGCCCCAUAUGCCAGGAGCCACUGCUGUAGCAUGAGUGCAGGGCAGGCUUGCUCUCCUGCCAACCCAUUCCCCACACUAGUCCCAGAGCCCACCAUUUAGGAAACACUGUGUUAAGUGACCUGAUUAACAUCAGUUAUGUGGUUUGUUCUUUCAUCCUCUGCCCAGGGUGUGCAGUGGAGUGUUGUUUCAUUAGGGUUGUUUUUUUAAAAUAAAUGUUGCAACAUGUUUGUUAGAGAAGGCAGGUCAAAGACAUGCUUUGCAUGUCAAGCAGAAGGUGAUGAGGUCUGUGAUGGUCCUUACUUUCUGUGGGAGUUCAUUACAGUCUUGGCCUGGCCUCUGUCAAAGCUGCCUCCUGCACAGACAAGCUUCACCCUUAUUGUAGAGAGUUCCAUUGUGUCAGAGGAGUGGAGUUGUUGGCCAUGGUUUUCAUCUCAGAACUUUAGGAGCAUCUUUUAGAUAUGCUGGCCCUAGGCCACUGAGCACCUUAAAGAUAAGCACCAACACCUUGUACUUGACUUGAUAGGCCUCCCUACAGCCCUGUGAAGUAGAUGAAGAUUCUGAUCCCAUUCUAACGGGACACCAAGGUACAGAGAGGGGAAAUGACUGUCUAAGGUCAUAUAAUAACCCUGUGGCAGAGCUGGGAAUAGAACUUAGUAAGUCUGACUCCUAGUUCCUCAUUCUAAUGUUUAGGACCUGCUCCCUGAGAUCAAUGUGCUGUCAUGUGCGUAAAAGCAGUUUCAGAGUAAAUUGAGGGGGAUAAACAGUGCAUUAGUAAAAUAUGUAGGUUGUGGUAACUAAGGGCUUUCAGAUAUUUGUGCACUAUGGUGUACCCUGACUUUGAAAACAAGUGCUGUGGACACUCCAAACACUAGCCUCUCUAGGCUCAAGCCCUAGUUGGGUUUCCAACAUACACACAUCUUUUAAUUGAGGAAUCUUUAUCUUUUUAAGCAGGCACUUAUCUCCUUGAUAUACAAGUGCUGUUUCUUUAGCUACUUCCUAAUAAUCUUUACUAGAACUGGCAGGGAGAAAAGUGUAGAAAUACCCUAGGUACAAGUCUUAGUGGUUUAGUUAGAAAAAGCCCAGGCCCCUAGGAGAGCAGUCUAGCAAGAAGGCACAAAGGUAUCUUUGCUUUCCAGAGUUCAUCAGACACCCAGUAUGCCCCCUGAGUCUAAACCUCUUGGGCAAGAAGGCAAUUUUAGUCUCUCAGACUCACAAGGCUGGGCUUCCUGCCACCUCUUAAAGGUUGCUAACUCUUACGAUUUUAUCACAAGUCUUAUGAUAUUUGGUAUUUUUCUUAAAGCUCCAUUUCCUGGA
Gopherus evgoodei (Goodes thornscrub tortoise) is the source of this 5603-nucleotide long non-coding RNA. RefSeq lists it as uncharacterized. The record is from RefSeq and is a predicted model, not a curated record. The transcript has 2 exons. Lineage: Eukaryota; Metazoa; Chordata; Testudines; Testudinidae.